This 253-nucleotide ribosomal RNA is filed under the name uncultured bacterium. Its description in RNAcentral is "partial 16S ribosomal RNA". It matches the Rfam family "Bacterial small subunit ribosomal RNA", at positions 524 to 776 of the family's 1533-position model. The record is from RNAcentral.
UACGUAGGGUGCGAGCGUUAAUCGGAAUUACUGGGCGUAAAGCGUGCGCAGGCGGUUCGUUGUGUCGGCGGUGAAAGCCCCGGGCUUAACCUGGGAAUGGCCGUUGAAACUGGCGAACUGGAGUGUGGCAGAGGGGGGUGGAAUUCCGCGUGUAGCAGUGAAAUGCGUAGAGAUCCGGAGGAACCCCAGAGGCGAAGGCGGCGCCCUGGCCCGACACUGACGCUCAGACACGACAGCAUGGGGAGCGAACGGG